Non-coding RNA from Chlorocebus sabaeus (green monkey), 148 nucleotides. It matches the Rfam family "Metazoan signal recognition particle RNA". From Rfam's summary of the family: The signal recognition particle (SRP) is a universally conserved ribonucleoprotein. It is involved in the co-translational targeting of proteins to membranes. The record is from Rfam. Lineage: Eukaryota; Metazoa; Chordata; Mammalia; Primates; Cercopithecidae.
GCUGGGCGUGGUGACGGGUGCCUGUAAUCCCAACUACUUGGGAGGCCGAGGCAGGAGAAUCGCUUGAACCCGGGAGGCGGAGGUUGCAGUGAGCCAAGAUUGUGCCACUGCACUCCAGCCUGGGUGACAGAGCGAUACUCUGUCUCAA